Molecule: long non-coding RNA, 732 nt
Filed under: Cicer arietinum (chickpea)
Lineage: Eukaryota; Viridiplantae; Streptophyta; Magnoliopsida; Fabales; Fabaceae
Description: long non-coding RNA (CARI_LNC000672)
Source: RNAcentral
ACUAACUUGAUAUAUGUAAAACCUAAUCAAGAUAUUUUGUUACAAUUAUUGCAAAAUAAAGAAUUUACCGAUUGAGAUUAAUAGUUAAGAGUAUUGAAGAGAAAUAUAAGAUUUUUGGGGAAGCCCUGAAUUUGGGGAGGGUUGAGAUGAAGAAAAAGUGACCUAGAGGAAAGAUAUUCAUGAGUGGUCUGAAGGUAUUAACCACUGAAUGAAUAUGAAGUCGCUUAUGUUUUCGAGAUCUACGGUCUCAGCCUUCUUCGCGGUGUCGCUAGGGUUCGUUAUUGACACCACCUUUAGAUUCAAGGUUUUCAUCGAUGAUGACGGCAGAGAAGAAGGAGGAGGAGAAAAAGAUUCAUGAAACUCAACUAGAUGAUUCAGAUGUUGCAGCAUGCUAUAACAUUAUUUGGAUCUUUUGGCAUAAUGUGCAUCAACAUCUCAUUUGCUUAUGGCCCUUGUGUCUCCUUUUUCCAUUGUAACAAUUUCAUGUGCACAUAUUUAAAAUUAGGCCGGGGAAAAAGAGUCUCCCUUUUUUUAGGAAAGCAACCUCAUUCUUGUCUUAGGAUCAGGUGGAAUGGUGGGAGAGGAUGUUACUUUUUCGUGUUCAAAGACAAGGCCAAAGUUUGAAUUAUGGAUGGUUCAUAAGAAAUUUCUUGUGCUUUUGUUUUUCUCACCAUUUCGACGGAUUAUGUUUAAAGAAGAGAAAAAUUUUGUAAAGAGUAGAAUGAGUUAAGG